Non-coding RNA from Chiloscyllium plagiosum (whitespotted bambooshark), 498 nucleotides. Lineage: Eukaryota; Metazoa; Chordata; Chondrichthyes; Orectolobiformes; Hemiscylliidae. The record is from RefSeq and is a predicted model, not a curated record.
GAUCUGGAUAACAAUCUGAAGAAACUUAACUCCAGGCUUUUUGUUAUUUGAUGGCAAUCACCUGGUAUAUUUCCAAAAUUAUUUAAGAAUAUUUGAGGCAUAUGGGAACAAACCCCACUUAUGUACAACUGCUUUUAAACAAUCAUUGGCGACUGGAAUUAUCCAAAUGUCCUGCGAAUACAAUAAUACUGAAGUAGCUGGAAAAGUGCACAAGGGCUAUUGAAGAGGACCAUGAUGAGAUGUACUGAAUGCCAUUGCUGGAAGAUCUUGGAAGGAAAAGACAGAAGAGUAAUAGAAACAUCACCAUCUGGAAGAUCUCGUUCAAGUCACUCAUCAACCUGACUUGGAACCAAAUUGCUGAUCCUUUAUUGAACUGGAUCAAAAUUGUAGAACUCCCUUCCACACAGCAGUGCAGGUGUCCCGACACCACGUGGACUGCAACAAUUCACGAAGGUUGUUUACCAUCAACACCACCUUCAAGGGCAAUCAGGAAUAGGC